This 8451-nucleotide long non-coding RNA is filed under the name Physcomitrium patens. Its description in RNAcentral is "long non-coding RNA (PPAT_LNC002190)". The record is from RNAcentral. Lineage: Eukaryota; Viridiplantae; Streptophyta; Bryopsida; Funariales; Funariaceae.
GAAACCGCCUUGACUCUGCCCCAUGGGUCGGUCUGUCGGUCGGUCGGUCGUUCAUGGAAUGUGGUGCGUGGAGUGGGUUGCGUUGUUCUUGGAGGGCAUUCGAGGCAGCACUGUGAAGUCGUGAGGGCGGUGCGUGGGGUUUUCGAAUUGGUGGAAUCGUGGAUUGAGCGGGAUUCAGCUGCUGCACGGACGCGGAUGCCGUUUGCGAUCGUGUGCAGUGACUGACGUAGUGGAAAUCUGUCCUUUGGGUUGGCAAGGCAGGAAAGAUGGCGGCAGCUGUGUCGAGGAGCGUGGUGCCGGUGGGGUCUGCAGCGGUGGCAGCGGCUUCACCGUGUUCGCAGGCGUCGUCGAGGAAUCACGUGAGCAUGGGGUGGAGCAACGCGAGCAGCCGGUUCGCCGGUUUGCAAGCCAGCAGCCGGGGCAGCGUGAAGGCAGGGUACACCGUGACGCUGAAGACGAAGGAUGCGGGGGACGUGACGUUCGAGGUGGACGGGUCGACGUACAUCUUGGAUGCCGCGGAGGAGGCGGGAGUGGACCUUCCGUACUCGUGCCGAGCCGGUGCGUGCUCGACGUGCGCGGGGCAAAUCAAGGAGGGCACGGUGGACCAGUCGGACGGGUCAUUCCUGGACGACGAGCAAAUGGAGAAGGGGUUCGUGCUGACGUGCGUGGCGUACCCGACGUCGGACCUGGUGAUCGAGACUCACAAGGAGGAGGACCUGCAGUAGUAGUGUAGCGAGUGUAGGGGGGAGGGCAGCGAGUAGCAUGGGCCGUAGAAGUUGCCGGAGACGGCGGAGGGAGCGAGGCGCAGGUGCAAUGCGCUUGGAGGUGGAGUGGAGCACAUGAUGCGACGGUGGCGGUGUGGGAUGCACGUGCGUGCGGAGAGUCGGUGGAGGGUAGCAGCAGGUGCAGUGGUGAUUUAUUGGGGGAUGGCAGAGGGUGAGGGGGCCGGGUUGGCGUAUGAGGAUGGGUGGAGUUGGAGAUACGGGUAGGAUGCUCGCAAGUGAGGUUAGCAGUAGGCGAGGAUGUUGAUAGACUUGUGGGGAAUAAAAAGAGUAAAAUUUUUAUGAAGGAGCGAAGCGGAUGUGGAUGUGUGCAGAUGGCGUUGCAUGUGGAGUGGGAGGAUGGCAAUGGUGUGGCAGUGCGAGGGAGUGUGAGUGCGAACAUACCAUGUAUUUGAUGCAGAGCUGUGAUGGUGGUGAUGAAGUGAGUGAGGUGGCAGAUGGGUGUGUAUGUGAGGAGUUUGGGAUGAUGUGUGUAUGGACUGCUGGUUUGUGGAAGUCAAAGCUCUCGGGUUUAUUGCCCUUGUAUAUGUUGUUGGAUACACAGGAAAAUGACUUUUUUGUUUAGUUCAUUGACUCGAAUGGGCUUCUUUCUUUGAUUGGAUGGUUGGUAUGGUGACAAUUCUACGUGUAUCACAUUACCCUGUUGGAUCGACUGGAAGUUCGUGGAACCUACCGAUUCAUCCUUGAAAGAUUCCAUGCUUGUUUAGACAGCUACGAGGGACUGUUACAUUCUACAAGAAUGUAAUUUGUCCUUUUAGGCACCAGAAUGUUGGUUGCCAUCUUCGAUCUUCUCGACGGUCUUAGGAAGCUUUUGGUGAAAUUUAGGCUUUUUGAAAUUCUUUUUUGUGUUGUUUUCAUGGGUAUCCUGUAUUAGUCAAUUUCUGUCCACAAGCCUUGGUGUUGUUUGUCAAUGUCUUAUUGUUAAACGAUUUUGGAGCGCUCAAAAUCCAUAUUUCCCACGUUCAUAAAUCUCAUUCUUAACGAACUUUGGAUUAUGCUGAAUCCGUAUUUCCCACAUUUAUACACCUCUAAUAAGGACCAUAUUAUUUUCAAUCUUUUAAAUUUGGUAAUUGGUUUGACCACAAACAUUGGUUGUUCCCAUGAGAGUCCUUCACAUUCCAACAGGACUAGAAGCAGUGGAUCGUGUAUUUGCUGUUCGGUCCGUUGGGCGGACUUGUAACUUAGUGAUGGCAAUGCGCGGGUUAAGCAAUUGCGCUUGUGUUUUUCUGUCGGAUCGUGUCUCUUUGAAACAGGAAAUGCACACGGGGGUUGCAAUGCUCAUGAAGUUUACAAUUGGGGGCAACGUUGCAUCCGUUUAAUUGAGCCUGUGGGCAUGGGGGCAACUGACGCGGAUUCGCAUAUAGGAGAAUUACUGAACUUCGGAAAGGCUACAACAGCAACUGUGAUAUUUGAACACAAGUCUGCAGCUAGUCAUCCAUGGUGUAACCUGUGCUAUGCAUUGAAUAUGCAUGCAUUGCCUUGUUGUUGCGAUCAUAGCAUCAGCUUUAGGGUGGAGGAAGAUUGAGAGUUGUUUGUCACUUAAUUCAAAAGGACAUUUACGGUGAGACGACGACACCUAAGUGGCUACCCGAGGCUAUGGAGGUGGGCGUCUCUUGCCCGCUUACACUGCAAUUAGGGCAUCUUAGGUUUCAGGUUGGGAUCAGCAUGCAUAUAGUCCCCUCACGACCCGCUGCAGUGAUUUGAGUAUCUGGGGUCAGUGUCGCAUACUGCUCCACCCAAAUUUUGCGCUCCAGGUUGAAUCCUUCCUUACGAAAUUGACUGCCCGCCGCAGACAUGACCUGGUUCAGCCCCGACGUGAACUCGAGGAUGCACCACAAAAUCCUGCCGCAUCUCACAAGUGGCUCCUCCACAGUCAUCCUGAGACAACAGUUGAGCAGUGAGGAUACCCUAGACAUCGCCGAACAGCAUCAUUUGCCCCAAUUCCGACCUUAAGCCCGUAUUGAUCUGGGAAAGGAAGAUGCCCUGCUGCACUUGCCUGUCUCUCAGGCUUUGACCCAAUAAUUUAUCCAAAUCGGGCCAGCCCCUGCGACCGGUUGGAUACCCAAUAAGCUUUGCAGUUCUGUUAUUUAUUUUUAGUCAUCUCUUGUAAAAUUGUAGGUUAGACUGUUGAGGGACAUGAGAUGCAAUGCCUCAAAAAAUAUGUUUAAUUACCUACUUCGUGGAAGAAAAAGAAACUGUAUUCUUAUUUGAUCUAUGAUUCGACAUAUUACAACGAACGAUAGGAUGAUUCCUAUUUGUUGGGAAGGCAAAUCUAAGACAAGAUUUCUUUUUUUCUUUUUUUCUUCAUAGGAACAUACAUUCUAGUAAAAAUUCUUCUACUUGUAAUAAUGUAUUGGAAAAAUGCAAAGAUUUGCAUCUUUUAAAUCCAUGACUUUAAUAAAAAGAUGAAUUCUUGCAAAGAUAUAUCCAACCCACCUAAGAACCAAACAUUAGAGUUAGAUCAAAUUAGGAGAGGACAAUAAAUAACCACUCAAGAAAAGAUGGCUAGCCACCAUAAAUUUGACAAGCAAUGUAAGUAUACAAAACGAUUGUACUGAAUAUACUUAUAUAUAUAUAUAUAUAUAAAAUUUUAAUUUUGAUUGAAUCAAAGUCUAUUUUGUGGUGCAUGUGUAUUAUAUUAUUUUUGUUUUGUUUUAUCCUACUUUUGCCUUCUAUUUUCUAAUUAGAGUUAAGUUGUGUAUGGUGUGGUUCAACAUUAUGGUCAAUGCAGAAUCCUUCUUAAUAAUUAUUAUUUCCACAAUUUAUUAACAUUUUCAAAAGCAAUUGUGUGGAGUUAGUAUUGCAUAUCAACAUUUGAAAGUGAUCAAUAAAUCUUCAUUAAAUUCAUAACAUUAUUUAUCUAAGUUCCAAAUUGUUGCACAAUAGACCAACAUAUGUUUGGAGUGCUAAAAUCCAAUCAUAAGAGUUAAUUUAAAGAGGUUCCAAAAUUUAGACAAGAAACAAUAAGUUUUUGUCCCCUCUCCUUUUUAACUUUGUACAUUUCUAAUCAUAAUAAUUAUGUUGGUAAAAAGUCUUUUUGGUUGCUAUAAUAUUUAAUUUCAAUAAAUUUUAAUUAAUAAUAUGAACUUGCUAUCAAUAUAGUUAAUUCAAUCAAAUCAUAAAAAUAUUUAUGAUUUAAUAAAUAAUUUAAUAAAUUUUUAGUGCACCAUUUUAUAAUUCAUUAUUAUUACUACUUUAAAACAAAGUACUUGUACUAUAACUACAUAAUAUAACAAUGUUAACAAUUCAUUAGAAAUAAAACAAUCUAAUUUAUUUAAUUUCAAAUAUAAACGUGAAAAAUCAAUAUAUUUAAGUAAUAUGUUUAUCCAUGACAACCUUUCUUCUUUAAAAAACAAAUAUUACAAGCAAUGAUUAAGUCAUUUCAUAAAUUAAUAAAUUCUAAGAUUUUUCAAAAAAUCUUAGUAAUAAGUUUUGAUCUAUGUUUUUUAUAAAAAUAGUUGAUAGAUUCUUUUGGAAAUUAAUAUGGUUGCAUAUUAGGACAAGGAAAUAACCUUUUAUUUGAUUAUUAUUAAAUCUUUCUUCACUACCUUUAAAUAACUCAUUUUGCAUGCCAUAAAUAUAAUAUCUAUCUUUAAUGAUAAAUUUAGGUAUCAAGAGUCUAUUCAAAUAUUGUAGUGCCAUAUAUUUUUUAUCUUAAUCAUUAAUUUAAAAUAAUACAUUUAUUUCACAUAAAAACUUGAUUUUUAUUUUAAUUUUAUAAAGAUUAGACAAUUUGAAUGUUUUAUCAAGAUAUUAUACAAAUGAUAACUCUUAAUAUAAAUUUGUUGGUUAUUUGUUUUCCUUGUUGGAAUGAAGUUUUGAAAGUUGAUUUAUAAAUUUACUUUUUAAAUUAAUAUUAUGUUGUUAUCAAUAAUAAGUAAUUGAUUUUGAUAUAAUUUUUGGUAAAAAUAAAAAUAUAAAUAAUGAUACAUUUUUAAGAUUUUCACAUACUAUUUAUAUAUAUUUAUUAAUAUUAUAUCUUUUUUAAUAUAUAUUACAUUCCAAUAUAUUUCUAGACAGCCUUCAAUCUAAGAAGUCUUUGUCAUUAUUUGUUUUAAUAAGGAAUAAUGGUAAUUUCUUUCUUCUUGGUAUGUUUAUUGUUCUAUAAGAUUCAAUAAAUAAAUAAAUAAAAUAUAUGAUGAAUCUUUAUUGAUUGUGGUAGUUGAUGUAAUUACUAUACAAUUAAAUUGAUCUUCUUUUUGGAUAAAAAAAGUCAAGACUUCUAUAAUCCAACUUGUCAUAAAAUCAACUAACCUUAAUAUUAAAAAAUAAAAUAAAAUAAAAUAACCAUGUUUUAUAACCAACUUUAUUUGAAGAUAAUAAAUUCAAAAGAUUCCUCCACAAUCUUAAUACAAACUAAAGCUUCCAAUGUUUUAGUAUCUUAUUUACAUUCUUCUAUAUUCUUAGAAGAUAUAAAAAUAUUAUUUUAAAUAGAUUUGAAAAAAAAAAAAAAUGAAAUGCAAAAAAUGUGCCAUUAAUCAAAUGCUAGAAAGUAGCUCAAGUGUUUGUAAGUUCGAAAGGCUUGGCAUUACAUUCAAAAUUAUUGUACAUAGUUUUAAAUUUAUACUUCUAUUAAAUUUUUAUUCUAUAUAUAUAUAUAUAUAUAUAUAUAUAUUUGAUUUUAGACUUCUUCUAGAUCUAUCUUGGUAUAGAUCUAAGGUUUACUUGAUUAAUUAUAAAUUCAUAGUAUUAAUAAUAAACAAAAUAACAAUGAUUAAUGGUUAAAUAAUUAAAUUUAUAAUAAUCUAUAUAAUUUUAUAAAGAUCUAUUUUCACAAAGAAAAUUUGUACAUUUCCAAUUUUUUUUUUGAAUAUUGGAUUAAAAAAAUUCAAGUUAUUUAUUAACAUGUUUCUUUAAAUGAAUAUUUUAUUAAUUAAAAAAUUAUAAAUUGAUCUAAAAGAUUGAUUAGUUCAUGAAAUAAGAAUUAAUUGAACAAUUAUAAGAUCAAAUUUUUGAUAAUUUAUUAGCAAUAUAUUUUCAAUCACAUCUUAAUAACUUUUAUAUGAUUGUAGAAUUCUAGUACAAUCUCUACUUUUCAUGCUUAUAUAAAUGACUCAAUUGUAAUAAAUAUAGAUUAAGAUGAUUUCUUGACUUUUAAACAAAGUUUUAAAAUGAUAUUUUGUAAUUUUCAAUGGAUAUUAUGACCAUGUAAUUUAAACCAAAGAAGUAAAGUACCACCAUAUUUGGAAAAUAUUUAAUGAUAUUGAAAAUUGUAAUCAAUAUUUAAUCUUCUAACAUUGCUUUUAAAUAGUUUGGUUUCUUCCAUAAAAUCUCCAAAUGGUAAUGGUUGUCAAUCAAUAACCUUCAUUAGACUUGAUGCACUCUAUUUUAAGACUUCCAAUUUGUAUUGUAAUACAAGAUUCUUAUUUAUAUAACAACUUGAGAUUGUAAUAUUUAAAAGAAUUAAAGUUCAAAUUCAUAACAAGAAGUAUUAAUAAUUAUAAUAAGUAAGAAAUUGUAGAAUCUAGUGGUAGCAUGGGACCUAUAAUUGUUAGUUGUGGUAUCAUGAAAGAGAUUUUCUACUAGAAAUAACAAAUUAAUGGCUAAACCUUAAUUGCUUUAAUAAAAAUAAGUAGAAGUCAUAAAACUAGAUUUAAAAACUACUUUCAAUUAAGCAAUAUUUAUUUUAUAAGAAAGAAAAAAACUAAUAUUGAACUCUAAGCGUGUUUGUUCUAGUCUUUUUAUUUAAUUUCCAGGAGAAAAACAAUAGCAUCAUCCACAUUUCAUACACAAAUCAUCGAGAUGCGAUUGGGGGUGACCUGAGGGAGGGAGUUCGUUCCCGACAUCCCCAAACUGAAGACGAGCUCUCAAACGAAGAAGACGAAGAACGAAUGCAAGGAUAAAGGGCAGCAGCAGCAGCAGCGCCUCAACAACUUCGUCCACGGGCACCACAAAAUGCAUCUCUGGGCAGCCAAGGCGCGUGCCGUGAAGUGAAGCUCGUCGCCGCAUAGCUGGCCCCAUUAGGGCACCCAGACAGCACAGCAGCAGCAAAGCGAGCCAGGGCCACCAUCCACCCAUCCAUACAUUCAUCCAUACCCUGCCCUGCCCGGCCCUUCCCAAGGCUUUGAUGCUACUUCCAAUUAUUUAGAAUCUCAGCUGCCCGGACCAUUACCACGGGCUGCCCUCUCGACGCUGCCCGCAGAGCCGUCAAUGCUGCAAAGCCGUAAGUAAAGCACCGCCCAGCGUGUCCCAAUGCCGACUACCCUGCUUCUUCAUCUGUGUUCGUGUUCUCGCUCGCAUCGGAGCCGUUGGUUCCGAAUUCUAACUAUCUGCACGAUCCAUCUCGACUCAGAACUCGGUGUUGUCCCGUUUGUGCGACUGUCCUGAUUUUGUCUCUUGGUUGUCGCGCAGUCGGCGGGUGUGUGCGAUCGUCGCAUUUCAACAGCGGGCCGGUCGCGCUUGGUGCAGGAGCGUGUGUUUGUGUGUGUAACUGUGUGUGUGUCUCGGGUGGUGUGGGCGGCUCCCCUCAAGCCUUCGCUCUUGAAAGCCUAACUAUUCAGGUUGGUAUGCAGUCCCGUGUUCUGAGUUUCCUGUUCUCUACGGUUAGCCCAGGGUCAGUUUCCGAUGGCAGGUUGGGUAUUUGUGUGGUGUGAUUUAUGAUGCGAGAGUGAGAGAUGGUGUGAUUUUAGGGUGGAGACGAAUGGGAGUCCCGCGUGUUGGAUUCCAGUAUCAUCGAGGUUGCUAUUUUCUUCUGUAUGUCGCCUCGCCGCCUUGGUCUGUGUCGGCGUUCUUGAUGCCUCGGGAGGUUGGGGGAAUUGAACGUGGAUCGCCACGCAUCACGGAUCCUCAGUUGGUUGCCUGGUGAAACCGCCUUGACUCUGCCCCAUGGGUCGGUCUGUCGGUCGGUCGGUCGUUCAUGGAAUGUGGUGCGUGGAGUGGGUUGCGUUGUUCUUGGAGGGCAUUCGAGGCAGCACUGUGAAGUCGUGAGGGCGGUGCGUGGGGUUUUCGAAUUGGUGGAAUCGUGGAUUGAGCGGGAUUCAGCUGCUGCACGGACGCGGAUGCCGUUUGCGAUCGUGUGCAGUGACUGACGUAGUGGAAAUCUGUCCUUUGGGUUGGCAAGGCAGGAAAGAUGGCGGCAGCUGUGUCGAGGAGCGUGGUGCCGGUGGGGUCUGCAGCGGUGGCAGCGGCUUCACCGUGUUCGCAGGCGUCGUCGAGGAAUCACGUGAGCAUGGGGUGGAGCAACGCGAGCAGCCGGUUCGCCGGUUUGCAAGCCAGCAGCCGGGGCAGCGUGAAGGCAGGGUACACCGUGACGCUGAAGACGAAGGAUGCGGGGGACGUGACGUUCGAGGUGGACGGGUCGACGUACAUCUUGGAUGCCGCGGAGGAGGCGGGAGUGGACCUUCCGUACUCGUGCCGAGCCGGUGCGUGCUCGACGUGCGCGGGGCAAAUCAAGGAGGGCACGGUGGACCAGUCGGACGGGUCAUUCCUGGACGACGAGCAAAUGGAGAAGGGGUUCGUGCUGACGUGCGUGGCGUACCCGACGUCGGACCUGGUGAUCGAGACUCACAAGGAGGAGGACCUGCAGUAGUAGUGUAGCGAGUGUAGGGGGGAGGGCAGCGAGUAGCAUGGGCCGUAGAAGUUGCCGGAGACGGCGGAGGGAGCGAGGCGCAGGUGCAAUGCGCUUGGAGGUGGAGUGGAGCACAUGAUGCGACGGUGGCGGUGUGGGAUG